Molecule: non-coding RNA, 86 nt
Organism: Caerostris extrusa
Lineage: Eukaryota; Metazoa; Arthropoda; Arachnida; Araneae; Araneidae
Source: the annotation of a GenBank genome assembly
AACGGUCGUACCAUGCUGAAUAUACCGGUUCUCGUUAGAUCACCGAAGUCAAGCAUCAUUGGGCGCGGUCAGUACUUGGGUGGGUA